CCCUUAGAUGUUCUGGGCCGCACGCGUGCUACACUGAGUAAUUCAAUGGGUAAGGGAACGCUAGAGCAUUACCUAAUCUUGAAAUUUGCUCGUGAUGGGGAUCGACGGUUGCAAUUUUCCGUCGUGAACGAGGAAUACCUUGUAGGCGCAUCUCAUCAUCAUGCGCCGAAUACGUCCCUGCCCUUUGUACACACCGCCCGUCGCUCCUACCGAUUGAGUGAUCCGGUGAGGCUCUGGGACCUGGACGGAAAGAGCGUUUCGCUUGUUCUGUUUGGGAAACUUGGUCGAACCUCAUCAUUUAGAGGAAGGAGAAGUCGUAACA
This 322-nucleotide ribosomal RNA is filed under the name uncultured eukaryote. RNAcentral's name for it is "partial 18S ribosomal RNA". It matches the Rfam family "Eukaryotic small subunit ribosomal RNA", at positions 1470 to 1796 of the family's 1831-position model. The record is from RNAcentral.